Brassica rapa (field mustard) is the source of this 1093-nucleotide RNA transcript. RefSeq lists it as uncharacterized. The record is from RefSeq and is a predicted model, not a curated record. NCBI's taxonomy places the organism in Eukaryota, Viridiplantae, Streptophyta, Magnoliopsida, Brassicales, Brassicaceae.
ACAGGACCUUUGGAAUCAUGCAAUAGUAGUAGCUGAAACAAGCAGAGCAGCUUGAGAUGAUUGCGUGGGAUUGUGAACAAUGUAUAUACUUACAUACGUUUCCAACUGUGACUUGUUGGGAAUGUCACACUCACAUGUCUAUCAUCAAACCUUCUAUAAUUCGUUUUUCUUUUGUUUCACUCAACUUCAUUUGUUUAAACUGCACAAAGACAAUGUUAGGCAUGAAAUAUUUAAUUUGUAGAAUUUUUUUCUUUUUAAUUUUUUUUUUAAAUACGAUAUUAGACCUCUUCUUGGUUUUUUGUUCUUAUUACAUUAAAGGAGUGUUGGAGGCGCAAGCACGACUAAAGCGACACCGUUUCGAGCAAGGCGUGAAGGAAGGUAUGUCACUGGUAGACUACGACGAUUCUUCAUCCGACGACGAUGUCUUACCCGCGGCGGAGCACAAGGCAGCUUUGCCACAACCACCGCAACAAAAACCCUCUCCCUCGAAAUCACGGAGGACUUUGAAUGAGAAGGAAGAAAGUGAGGGACUUCCUCAGCUACCAGAUGCUUUGCUUCUUCUGGAGUCACCAACGCUUACACAUGCGAGUGGCGGUGGUGACCAUGCUUCCGUUGUUGCAGCUGCAAUGCGAAAACGAGAGUUAAAUGGGAACUCUUCUUCUCUUCCUCGUCGUCCCAAGGUGCCAAGAGGAGCUUUGCCUCACUCCAAGAAUAUUCCAGACACUUCGGGUAACCUGCUUGUGCCUCCUCAGCUCAAAGGAAGGAGCAAUGUUGCCACAGAAGAUAUGAGCAGGCUUUUUGUGAAGAAACGGCAAGAGUCCUCCAAGGCAACAUCUCCUAAUCAGGAUUAGUUUUUUUUUUCAAUUUUGAUUUUUGAAUGCUACCUAUAGUGUGGUAUCCUAGUUGGUGUCUUUCGUUUAUUUAUAACAUGACUACUAUUGUCUUUCUUAUACUUGGUUUGAUGACAUGUAGUUCUAAAAUUUACAUUUAUCAUGGCUUGAUAUAGGACAAUAAUUUUUUUUUGUAAACAGUGUGGUUUAGCCUAAAAAUGUAAACAUCAAUCUUUUUUUAGAUUAAAAAAACCUCUGAAACA